GACGAGAUUGCCGGGCCUGAGAAGCAGUUUGUCCAGGUCUCUCGACCGGCUCGGCUGCACCGUCGAGUGUGACAUUGUCCAGCUCUCUGUCUCUCGCUCCUGCUUCUGUUUUAAAAUUCUCCUCUAUUGGUAUUAAGCUUAAAGCCCAAAAGCUGAAAACCCAAAAUUGGCUUGAAUUUUACGCUUGGCUUUGUUAAGGCUUAAUAAAUUUCUCAACCACUGGCUUUCCGUAAGAAAGUUAUUUAAUUUCAUCAGCGCUCACGAAAACGGUAAUUCACAC
RNAcentral lists this unclassified non-coding RNA (280 nucleotides) under Hevea brasiliensis (rubber tree). The record is from RNAcentral. Lineage: Eukaryota; Viridiplantae; Streptophyta; Magnoliopsida; Malpighiales; Euphorbiaceae.